This 261-nucleotide ribosomal RNA is filed under the name uncultured bacterium. Its description in RNAcentral is "partial 16S ribosomal RNA". It matches the Rfam family "Bacterial small subunit ribosomal RNA", at positions 29 to 312 of the family's 1533-position model. The record is from RNAcentral.
AACGAACGCUGGCGGCAGGCUUAACACAUGCAAGUCGAACGGGCGUAGCAAUACGUCAGUGGCAGACGGGUGAAUAACACGUGGGAACCUUCCUCGUAGUACGGAACAACUCAGGGAAACUUGAGCUAAUACCGUAUACGUCCGAGAGGAGAAAGAUUUAUCGCUAUGAGACGGGCCCNCGUCCGAUUAGCUAGUUGGGUGGGUAACGGCCGUACCAACGGACAACGAUCGGUAGCUGANCUGAGAGGAUGAUCAGCCACA